Molecule: long non-coding RNA, 916 nt
Organism: Ahaetulla prasina
Lineage: Eukaryota; Metazoa; Chordata; Lepidosauria; Squamata; Colubridae
Exons: 3
Source: RefSeq, a predicted model, not a curated record
CUACCAGAAGUUCUGCAAACAUUGUUCCAAUUGUUAGAAAACGUACUUAACAUUUAAAAAAAUACUCAUGCGAACAUCAUGGCUUUUAAUUGGAAUGUAUAUGUGGCAAGAAUAAUAAUGUUUUAAUGGCUAGCAAGAUUUCACCCUGCAUAAUCAGUUUAUAAAUUUGAGGAAAUGAUCAGUCAAAUAAACUGCAUGUCAGACUGGUAUAGGUCAGAACUAUUGGCAUAACAAAUUGAGGAGAAGUUCUGCACUACAAUAAAAAAAAACUGCAGAAAAAACAAUUGCUACCAACCUGCCUUCCAUUGAGGACCUGUAUACUGCACGAGUCAAAAAGAGGGCUGUGAAAAUAUUUAGAGACCCCUCACAUCCUGGACAUAAACUGUUUCAACUCCUACCCUCAAAACGACGCUAUAGAGCACUGCACACCAGAACAACAAGACACAAGAACAGUUUUUUCCCCGAAGGCCAUCACUUUGCUAAUUCCCUCAACACUGUCAAACUAUUGACUAAAUCUGCACUACAAUCUUCUCAUCAUUCCCAUCACCCAUCUCCUUCCACUUAUGACUAUAUGACUGUAACUUUGUUGCUUGUAUCCUUACAAUUUAUAUUGAUAUUGUUUCCUGAUUGCUUAUAUAUACCCUGUGACUAUCAUUGUGUUGUACCUUAUGAUUCUUGAUGAACGUACCUUUUCUUUUAAGUACACUGAGAGCAUAUGCACCAAGACAAAUUCCUUGUGUGUCCAAUCACACUUGGCCAAUAAAAUUUAUUCUAUUCUAUUCUAUUUAGUUUGCUAGUACAGUAUGAUUUUUGUUGAUUGCUUAUUUAGUAACAUAUGACUAUCACUAAGUGUUGUAUGUUAUGAUUCUUGAUGAAUAUAUUUUAUUUUUCUUUAUCUACACUGAUAGCAUAUGCA